Triticum aestivum (bread wheat) is the source of this 125-nucleotide non-coding RNA. The record is from Rfam. Lineage: Eukaryota; Viridiplantae; Streptophyta; Magnoliopsida; Poales; Poaceae.
GGAGUACUCCCUCCGUCCGGAAAUACUUGUCACAGAAAUGGAUGAAUCUAGAUGUAUUUCAAUUAUAGAUACAUUCAAUUUUAUCCAUUUCUCCGACAAGUAUUUUGGGACGGAGGGAGUAUUAC